RNAcentral lists this unclassified non-coding RNA (244 nucleotides) under uncultured Agaricomycetes. RNAcentral describes it as "sequence contains ITS2". Lineage: Eukaryota; Fungi; Basidiomycota; Agaricomycetes. The record is from RNAcentral.
AACUCUCAGCAUCCUACCCGAUCUGUUGUUGUGACAAUUGCAUUGCAUUGAUCGGGGGGAGGUAGGCAGCUACUUCCCGUCACCUGGCUUCUGGAUUGUGGAGGAUGCAAUGCUGCCCCCAAUUGGGGCCUCCUUUGCUUCUCUGAAAUGGAGUGCCGUUACGACUGUAACGUUGGGCCCGAACCUGGCACCGGUAUGAUACACUCUUCUUACCUGUGUCUGGUCCAUUUGAGCCGUGUCCAAU